Long non-coding RNA from Apus apus (common swift), 2001 nucleotides. RefSeq lists it as uncharacterized. The record is from RefSeq and is a predicted model, not a curated record. NCBI's taxonomy places the organism in Eukaryota, Metazoa, Chordata, Aves, Apodiformes, Apodidae. The transcript is spliced from 4 exons.
AGAUGUACGUGGCCGGUGAUGCUGGUUCUAUUUUGACACUUGAGAGCCUGCCAGCUCUGUAUGCCUGUUAGGCCAUACCAUCCUUGGCAGACUUCUCUGUUCAGAAAUAAGCGGGUAAAUUUAGCCCUGGGUUGCACCACUGGUUUUUGGUGGGAGUUUCCCCAAGUAUUAAUUUGGCCUCAGUGUUGGUGUUCCAAUGUUGUGCAGUGUUGUCUUGCAUGGAAAUGUGCACACGAUGCAAGUAAGCUCUCGACAAAUGCUACGUAGUUCUUCUGAGAUGCUGAACUGCCACCAGCAUCUUUCCUCAGGUGUUUCAGGAACCCUCAGCUUGAUGAAAUUGCUCGCUACUGGAUAACUCUUUGGAUACCAUUGCCCAGAGGAAUGUGAUGGAAGCUCAUACGAAGAUGCACUUUGAUUUAUAUUGUGUGAUCCUUGCCUCUGACGUGGACAUAGUUUUUGUGGAUUACUCCUUAUCUUUCAGGAUCCUGCUUCACCUGAUUGAGACAAUGCCUGACCUGUCUUUGAAACAGAUAGAAGGCAGAAAUCUGGCUUUCAGACCAGCUCCAUUAAGCAUUAACCCACAGGAUGUAACCUCGCUAGAGAGAACAAGACUACCUUUCCCACUCUGUAUUUUCCCUUGCCUGCCAUUCUGCCCACGACACUGGGCCUGGAUGUCUCAGAAUAUACCUCUCCUUCAAUGUAUUUACACAGGAUUUCGCCAUCAGGUCUGUGAGUCAAUCCAGGACAGUCAGGCUGUCCUCUACUGAGAUGUAUCUUGACAUGAAACUCCUGGGAAGCUGGACAACUCUCUCAGCAGAAGUGUUAAUGCCCUUAAGUAAAGCUGAAGUCUUUGUUCUAUCUUCUCCUUGCUCCUGCAACGCCUUAUUUUGUCCUUGUGUUAACAUUCAGGGUGAGGCCAUGAUUCUCUGACUUUGUGAAGAAUUGUUGUAUUUUAGUUUGUAUAAAAGUAACCUGAAUGCAAAUGCUAAAAAGACUAUGGAAAGCAUGAAAAAUGGAAAGCAUUUGUUUUCAAAUUUGGCAGAAUGUUCCUUCUAGUUGUAACCUUUUGUCUAGACGGGUUCCACUCUCCACAGCUUUGCUUCUUUCCUGGCCCUUUUAAAGAUACUAAGGAUGAAUGUGAAACGCAACAAACUGAUAUGUAGUCACACUGAAUAGAGGCAAAAUCAGCUUUCUGUGCAGGCUUUUUGAGGUUCCAAGAAUUUGGACAUUCUCCCAACUGUUGAGAUGGUGGGUAGCUCUAAGCCAAACAUCUAUGAACUUCAAAUAGCUGCUGUUUCAGUUGAAUGUAAUGCAUGAAUAAUUUUGGGAAGCUCAACAGAAGGCAUCCUAUUCAACAGAAGGCAUCCUAUUCAUCAGUGGACUAUGCCUUUGUGGUUACUUUGUAGGUAGUACCUGGUACGAUAAUCUAAAUCAAACAUUUCCUGGGUAAUAACGUAUUAGGUGGCAACAGUGUAAACUGUCCCGGAGUGCUCUAGUAGCACACAACAUGGCCUUGCCAGGAAAAUGGGCAGCACUCGAAACCAGGAUGCUUAUGAAGGCCCUUCUAUUGAAAAUACUGCUAUCAGUACUAACUGAUGCUAUGUCUUGUGACAGCCCUCCAUCUCAAAAUCAAAAUCCUUUCACAUAUCCUGAAAGCAAGUAAGUUUUUAUAGAGGAAAAAUUACAGCAUGAAAAUUCAGCUAGAGUAAACAAACACGAUUCCACAGAUACAGUAAUCUCCAGCUGCAAAAGAUCUGCUCAUUUCACUCCCCAGUCUGUUUUCAGGAUUUGAUUUUUGGGAUGGUUAGCUACUGAAGAUGAAUUGAACUAAUUGAAUUCUGGUACAUUGAGAUCAAUACUGAGACAGAGUUUUCUGGUCUUCUGCACUAUGAAUGUAUUUUUAACAUGGAACAAUUUUAUCUGAUUAGCACAUUAAGUUUGCCUUUUUUUUUUUUUUCCCCUCCCCCCUCUAAUAAACUUAUUUUCUCUCUUGAAAAAUAA